Molecule: long non-coding RNA, 905 nt
Filed under: Olea europaea subsp. europaea
Lineage: Eukaryota; Viridiplantae; Streptophyta; Magnoliopsida; Lamiales; Oleaceae
Source: RNAcentral
GAGAUGGUUAAAUUUUAUAGAUAGAAUUACUAAUACUGGAAUAGUAAUUAAUUUUGAACAUAUUAAAGGUAGUGAUAAUCAAAUAGCAGAUAUUUUAAGUAGAAUAAUUAAAAAUAAAGAUUAUGACUAACUAUUUAUUGCAGAUGCAAAGACCAAGAGGUUCCAGACCAGGAUUGCCAAUUGUUGGCAGUUCAAGUUCUCAGACAAAUAUACUCCAGACUCAUGAUAAGUUAAGAUUUGGUAAUAUAGAAUUACUAUGUUUUCCUAAUAGCAAUAUUAGUUUUAAGACACUUUCUCAUAUUUCAGUAACAAAGGCAGAAAAAUGCAUUUUAGAUAAUUUAUGGAUUUCUUAUAAUAAGAACCCAAAAGACCAAAAAUAUUUUUUAGCAUGUUUAAAUGCUCUUUCAGAACAUUUUAGUCAAGAUCAUAAACAAUUUAAAUGUUAUGUUGUUUUAAAUGGAAGACUUCCAGGAAUUUAUCAUACCUGGUUAGAAGUUUCAGACUGUAUUAAGAAUUUUCCAAAUCCUCUUUACAAAGGAUUUUAUUCAAUUUCAGAAGCAUUAGAAGAAUGUAGAAAAUUUAUUGGCCCAAAUUAUUUUAUUGCUCCUUCUUUAAAAAAUGUUUCAGAUCAACCUUUAGAUUAUUCUUCAAGAUUUUGUGAUCAUUGUGAAUGUAUGACAAAGAACUUUAAAAUUUUAAAUGAAUCAAACCAGACUUUGCAACAAGAAAAAUUAGCAUUACAAAAGAAGAUCUCUGAUUUGGAGCAAGAGAUUAUUAAUUUAAAAAUUUCAAAUCCUAUUUCUCAGACAGAAGCAGGUACUAUAGAGCCCAAUAAAUCUAUAGCUAGUCCAGCCCAAACGGAAGCUGGUAAAGACUUAUCAAAUCCGUUUAUGGUUCUGGGCUUA